Molecule: unclassified non-coding RNA, 263 nt
Filed under: Hevea brasiliensis (rubber tree)
Lineage: Eukaryota; Viridiplantae; Streptophyta; Magnoliopsida; Malpighiales; Euphorbiaceae
Source: RNAcentral
UAUGUCUCCAAUAAUACCCUUUACUUCCAUCUUCAUGCACAAGGGAGGCCUGUCAUGAAUUGGCCAACACGUGUUAAAAUUGCUGUUGGCGCAGCUCGUGGAAUAGCUUAUCUGCAUGAAGAUUGUUAUCCUCGUAUUAUUCACAGGGACAUUAAGUCAUCAAACAUUCUUUUAGAUGACAACUUUGAGGCCCAUGUUGCUGAUUUUGGACUAGCUAAAUUAGCUCAGGAUGCAGAAAGUCAUAUCACAACACGUGUCGUGGG